Molecule: long non-coding RNA, 1070 nt
Filed under: Equus asinus (donkey)
Lineage: Eukaryota; Metazoa; Chordata; Mammalia; Perissodactyla; Equidae
Description: lncRNA (ENSEASG00005033572.1)
Source: RNAcentral
GUCUGACCUGCCUUGUUCCAAUUCUGAGGUCAGCCUGCCGGGUGGUACUACAACAAGUACUAAUUAGAAAAGCCCUUUCCACCUUCUCCGCCAUCUUUCCCGCAUCCUGGAGCAGUUCAUCACAGAACUGCAGCAGGGCUCCCAGCCAGGAGGAAAUUGAGGACAUUUUCCUUAGAAUUAUGUGCUGUUCACGUUUUUCUAGUUCCUACCCUGGGAAGGAUGGUUCGGUUAGCUUUAUGAGGGGUUUUUCAAAUUCAGCUAUUAUUUCUGCAGCAGCCACCGACUGAUGUCUGUCAAGGGCUGAACAGGCUGCCGUCUGAUCUCACCACUCCCCACGUUCUGCAUGAGGAAGCCUUGCCACGCUGAAAUGCCCCACACCGUGCCCUGAAUCAAACCUGUCCCUCUCGGCAAGCGAUGCCGAAUAACAAUUAGAAGCAGAAGGAAAGAAGGCUUUCAGCUGAGAAGUUCUACUGGCAGUAAAAUGGAGAACAGAGAAGGAGCUCUUAAAAAAUUUUGAGAUAAUUGCCUGAGUAAAUAUGAAAAGCAACAUUUAAUAUUUAUCUAACUUUCUCUGCAGGCUGAGAAGGCAAGACAGGUCUUCCGAGCACAAUAUACAAUAAAAGUAAAGCAGGAUAAAAGAAGGAUCCGGCUGACCGAGGCAAUGUUGCUUUUCCAUGUCUAAGAAUACGGAACUGGGGAUUUUCAGUCAAGUUAUGGAUUGUUAGGGUCCUAGAGAACAGAGAAUAGAAAGAGAGAAUAUGGCAUGCAGAUAGCUCAGCGAUAUCCAUCCAGGCUGAUGCAGAUUUUCAGUUGGGAGAAGCAGUUUUAUUGACUAAGUGUUACAGCGCCCUUUCCAAUGUUUUCCCAGGAGCAAGCAGGAUGAGUUGGCUUAUAUUAUAGCCCAUGAGGCGGAGCACAGCCGCUCAAAUGAUGGUGAGCCAUAAACAGAGGCCACAGCUGUUCUCCAGGCUAACUGAAGGAUUGCCUCAUCAGAGAAAGUAUCACAUAACUUUGUAGCACCUGGGCAAUCUUGUUAGUGUAUGUAUCAGCUUUGAAAAUCAAAGCUGAUU